GACGUAGGGCGCGAGCGUUGUCCGGAUUUAUUGGGCGUAAAGAGCUCGUAGGCGGCUUGUUGCGUCGACCGUGAAAACCCGCGGCUUAACUGUGGGCCUGCGGUCGAUACGGGCGGGCUGGAGUUCGGUAGGGGAGACUGGAAUUCCUGGUGUAGCGGUGAAAUGCGCAGAUAUCAGGAGGAACACCGGUGGCGAAGGCGGUUCUCUGGGACGGUACUGACGCUGAGACGCGAAAGCGUGGGGAGCGAACAGG
RNAcentral lists this ribosomal RNA (253 nucleotides) under uncultured bacterium. Its description in RNAcentral is "partial 16S ribosomal RNA". It matches the Rfam family "Bacterial small subunit ribosomal RNA", at positions 524 to 776 of the family's 1533-position model. The record is from RNAcentral.